RNAcentral lists this ribosomal RNA (355 nucleotides) under uncultured bacterium. RNAcentral's name for it is "partial 16S ribosomal RNA". It matches the Rfam family "Bacterial small subunit ribosomal RNA", at positions 338 to 710 of the family's 1533-position model. The record is from RNAcentral.
CCUACGGGUGGCAGCAGUGGGGAAUAUUGCACAAUGGGGGAAACCCUGAUGCAGCGAAGCCGCGUGAGUGAGGAAGUAUUUCGGUAUGUAAAGCUCUUUCAGCAGGGAAGAAAAUGAUGGUACCUGACACAGAAGCCACGGCUAACUACGUGCCACGAGCCGCGGUCAUACGGGGGGGGCAAGCGUUAUCCGGAUUUACUGGGGGUAAAGGGAGCGUAGACGGCUAAUUUAGUCAGAAGUGAAAACCCAGGGUUGAAAUUUGGGACUGCUUUUGAUACUGAGUAGCUAGAGUGCAGGAGAGGUAUGCGGAAUUCCUGGUGUAGCGGUGAAAUGCGUAGAUAUUAGGAGGAACACC